CUUAAACCAAAUAAUUUUUCUCACAGUUUUGGAAGCUAGAAUUUCAAGAUCAUGGUGUUGACAGGUUUGGUUUCUUUUGAGGUUUGUCUUUUGGCUUCUAGGUGACUAGCUUUUAGCUAUAUUCUCACAUAGUCUUUCCUUUAUACUCAAGUGCCAAAGUGCCUUUGUCUAGGCUCUUCUUAGGAAUCCAAUCAUAUAAAGGUCUCAUUUUAACUUAGUCAAUUCUUAUCUCCUAAUACAGUUAUAUUUUGAGGGACUAGGGACAUAAUAGAUGAAUUUGGGGAUUACAGUGACCUUUCUUUAUUUCUGCCAUGCAUUAUUCUAGUCACUUUGAAUGAAUUAAAUUCAGGGUUCUUCAAUCUCAGCACUAAGGACAUUUUAUACCUGACAAUUCUUUCUUGGGGUAGGGUUAGGAGACUGUUCUAUGCAUUGUACCAUUACUAAAUCCAUUUUAGUAUCAUCCUUGGCUUCUGCCAGUAACUCCGUCUCCCCAGGUAGUGAUAUAAUUAUUUGCAGACAUUGUCAGAUUUCCCCUGGGGGACAAAAUUGCUCUAAUUGAGAACCACUGAUUAAGUCUAAUCUUCUCCACACUGUUUCAAGGUAGCUUUAAUAUCCCCACUUUAUAAAGGAAGGUACUGAGAUUAAGAAAGGUUGAAUGACUGGCCAAGUUCACAUAGAAACAAAGGGGCAGAGCCAGGAUUUGAACUUUAGUUGUUUUUUUCCAUGACAUUAAGCUGCUGCUUAGUGGUUAUCCUGCACCUUUUCAGCUUUCACCACUGUCUCUAAAUCUGCUACACCAAAUGCUGAAUGAUGGCCUUAAAAUAAUCAGUAAUCAUGUGAUGAUCCUUUCUUUGUAAUCUUUGUGAAAUAUUCUAAACCAUAAACCUAUUAUGCUUUCUGAAACAGUGACCUAGGGGUAUUACAAAUUGUCCGCAGAGCCAGGCACCAAUGCCACCCUCUUUAUGGUCAUUAAUUAAACUGAGAACAGGCUGAAAGAUACACAUCAGCUGGAUGUGAUGUUACACAACUGUAAUCCUAGUGGCUUGGGAGGCUGAGACAGGAGAAUCACAAGUUCAAAGCCAGGCUCAGCAAAAGCAAGGCACUAAGCAACUCAGUAAGACCCUGUCUCUAAAUAAAAUACAAAAUAGGGCUGGGGAUGUGGCUUAGUGAUUGAGUUCCCCUGAGUUCAAUCCCCAGUACCCUCCCACAAAAAAGACUGAAAUACACAUUAAUAAUAAUAAAUUACAAAUCUUAGCUAAAACAAUUCAUCUUUUCACCCCAAAAUUAUGUGAUAACCCAAUUUUAAAUAUGAAAAUGAAGUCUGGGGAAAUAAGUUGGGAAAUUGCCCUGAUUAGUCAGAGUUAGGUAAAGAAUGAAAAUUAUACUUCUGCUGUGUGGGAAAUUGUUUAAAAACAAAAAAAAUGCUUGCCUAGUGCAUCCCCCAAAAUGUGACAGCUUCAGAAUGGUGUUCAGGUUUUCCUAAGAACCCAGAUGUUCAAUGACUAGUACUUGAACUUUCAAUAAACUCCAGAAAUGUAAAGAAAACUAAAUGAUUGUGCAUAUGUGUGUGCUACAGUGUUCUGAGAAGAAUCCUUCUCUAAUUCUCAAGAAGUAAUAUUUGCUUCCCCACCAUGAAGCCCAAGACUUGAUUAACUUUAUCUUAACAUACCAAUAAAUGUUGUAUUGGCCAUAAAAACAGUCAGCUCUAGUA
Molecule: long non-coding RNA, 1711 nt
Filed under: Marmota monax (woodchuck)
Lineage: Eukaryota; Metazoa; Chordata; Mammalia; Rodentia; Sciuridae
Source: RNAcentral